RNAcentral lists this ribosomal RNA (400 nucleotides) under uncultured bacterium. RNAcentral describes it as "bacterial SSU rRNA". It matches the Rfam family "Bacterial small subunit ribosomal RNA", at positions 355 to 771 of the family's 1533-position model. The record is from RNAcentral.
UAAAGAAUAUUUCGCAAUGGCCGAAAGGCUGACGAAGCGACACCGCGUGAAGGAUGAAGUUCUUUUGGACGUAAACUUCUUUUCUGAGGGAAUAAUCUUGAAGGUACCUCAGGAAUAAGCACCGGCUAACCACGUGCCAGCAGCCGCGGUAAUACGUGGGGUGCAAACGUUAUCCGGAAUCAUUGGGCGUAAAGCGUGUGUAGGUGGCAUGUUAAGUCUGAGGUAAAAUGUCGACGCUCAACGUCGUCAUCGUCUCGGAAACUGGCAUGCUGGAGGCAUUCAGAGGCAGAUGGAAUUUCGUGUGUAGGGGUAAAAUCCGUAGAUACACGAAGGAACACCAAAAGCGAAGGCAGUCUGCUGGGAAUGUCCUGACACUGAGACACGACAGCGUGGGUAGCAA